RNAcentral lists this long non-coding RNA (574 nucleotides) under Ananas comosus (pineapple). RNAcentral's name for it is "long non-coding RNA (ACOM_LNC012683)". Lineage: Eukaryota; Viridiplantae; Streptophyta; Magnoliopsida; Poales; Bromeliaceae. The record is from RNAcentral.
AAAAUCAAAAUUUAAUUAACUACAUAGUACAAAUUAACAGCAAUUUUAUAUAUUUUCUUAUAAAUUAAGUUUAUUUUUUUAUAUUACUUAACUUAUUAUAGGUAAUAUAUAUAUCCUCCAAAAUUAGGUAGAUUUGAAGAAACUAUUACUCAUAUUGCCACGUCAUCUUAAUGAUCAAAGGGUUUCAAAAUUUAUAAUUUUAAUGGUCGAUAAGAGGCGUUUUCUCGUUUAACGGCGUAAAAAUAUUCAAAUCAAUUGAAUUUUUGUUAAAAAAUUUUUUAAACUAUUUAAAACAAGAUCUAUACUCUUGAUCUUGAUUACAAGACUCCUAUCAUUAUUUUUUUAAAGAAUAUUCAUUUUCAACCAUUCAUUUUUCUGUUCACUUGAUGGAUAAAAGAACAAUAUCGAAAGUGCGUGAAAUUUGAUUUCUAGGUAGUUUAAAAGGUUUAGAUCAUAUUUAACGGAGCCGAUCGUCAAUUUGGAAGCUCUAUCAUCGAAAACAAAUCCGUAGUAAAAUAACUCGUUUACUACCGAUAGUAUUCUAGCUCAACUCUAUAUAUAGAUAUAUAUGUAC